RNAcentral lists this ribosomal RNA (253 nucleotides) under uncultured bacterium. Its description in RNAcentral is "partial 16S ribosomal RNA". It matches the Rfam family "Bacterial small subunit ribosomal RNA", at positions 524 to 776 of the family's 1533-position model. The record is from RNAcentral.
UACAGAGAGUGCAAGCGUUAAUCGGAAUUACUGGGCGUAAAGCGAGCGUAGUCGGUUAUUUAAGUCGGGUGUGAAAGCCCCGGGCUCAACCUGGGAAUUGCAUUCGAUACUGGAUAGCUAGAGUUCGGCAGAGGGAAGCGGAAUUUCCGGUGUAGCGGUGAAAUGCGUAGAUAUCGGAAGGAACAUCAGUGGCGAAAGCGGCUUCCUGGACCAGAACUGACGAUCAGGCUCGAAAGCGUGGGGAGCAAACAGG